Molecule: long non-coding RNA, 203 nt
Organism: Etheostoma cragini (Arkansas darter)
Lineage: Eukaryota; Metazoa; Chordata; Actinopteri; Perciformes; Percidae
Exons: 4
Source: RefSeq, a predicted model, not a curated record
UUGGGCAUCAUUUGGAUUUUAACGAUUCUGAUUCCAAAUCCAUUUUUUCCUUUCGAUUUCAGUUCUUAUUGAUUCCGAUUCUCUGUGGGGUGGAGUUGAAACAGAUCACGUGCCUAUUUCACAAAUAAGAGGAAGGUUUUAUCUUGAUUUAAUGGUGGUUUGCAGUUUUACAGGGCUUUUUCUUCGUAAAAUAAACCAGACUA